CGCGGGAUGGAGCAGUCGGCAGCUCGUCGGGCUCAUAACCCGAAGGUCGAAGGUUCAAGUCCUUCUCCCGCAACCA
RNAcentral lists this transfer RNA (76 nucleotides) under Desulfoscipio gibsoniae DSM 7213. RNAcentral describes it as "tRNA-fMet (CAT) (tRNA-fMet-CAT-2-1)". It matches the Rfam family "tRNA". From Rfam's summary of the family: Transfer RNA (tRNA) molecules are approximately 80 nucleotides in length. Their secondary structure includes four short double-helical elements and three loops (D, anti-codon, and T loops). The record is from RNAcentral. Lineage: Bacteria; Bacillati; Bacillota; Clostridia; Eubacteriales; Desulfallaceae.